UACACCUGUUGUAUUCAGCAUUUCACUGUGAGGUCUACUACACCUGUUGUAUUCAGCAUUUCACUGUGAGGUCUACUACACCUGCUGUAUUCAGCAUUUCACUGUGAGGUCUACGUAGACCUGUUGUAUUCGGCGCAUGUGACUAAUACGAUUUGAUUUGACACCAAGGAAUUUGAAGCUCUCGACUCCACCACAGCCCUAUCGAUGUGGAUGAGGAUGUGCUCUGUGACCGGGCUUCCCACUGACGCCAUACAUCAAGGCUGUUGGUUAUUUGUUGAUUCAACCCCAAAUGAACUCUUACUAGGAACUGGUUCUUCAUUCAACCCCCAGGCUGGCAGACUGCUGCGGCUCAGGUUUCUCACCAUAGUGUAUACACAAUGGAAUAAACGACAUGGACCUCUAAAUACAUGUGUAUUAUAAUACACUGAGUGGACAAAACAUUAAAAACGCCUGCUCUUUCUAUGACCAAAGACUGAACAGGUGAAUCCAGGUGAAAGCUAUAAUCCCUUAUUGAUGUCACUUGUUAAAUCCACUUCAAUCAGUGUAGAUGAAAGGGGAGGUGACAGGUUAAAGAAGGAUUUUUAAGCCUUGAGACAAUUGAGACAUGGAUUGUGUCUGUGUGUCAUUCAGAGGGUGAAUGGGCAAGACUUUAGCCCCUUUGAACGGGAAUGGUAGUAGGUGCCAGGUGCACCAGUUUGUGUCAAGAACUGCAACGCUGCUGGGUUUGUCAUACAGUUUCUCCAUGUGUAUCCAGAAUGGUCCACAACCCAAAGGACAUCCAGGCAACUUCGCACAAUUGUGGGAAGCGCUGGAGUCAAUAUGGGACAGCAUCCCUGUGAAAGGCUUUCAACACCUUGUAGAGUCCAUAUCCCGACGAAUUGAGGCUGUUCUGAGGGCAAAAGGGGGUUCAACUCAAUAUUAGGACGGUGUUUUCAAAGUUUUGUACACUCAUUGUACAGUGCAUGGUAUCGAUAGGUCUCACCAGGUCUGUGAGUGCUGUUAGCUAACUAACAAAGUCCUGGUGGAACGUUGGAUGGUCUAUUUCCAUGGUGACAGUGAUAACCUCUGACCCCUGGUCUCUUAUCAGAGCCAUCUGAUUGGACAAUCUCAGGGCUAAAUCACGAUGCUGUAAGCUCCAUUCACACCAUUGUGAUCUUGUUUGUUCAAUUUGUGUUGAGCUGAAUGAAACCCUGAUUGGACCAGGUCAUAUAGAGGUGAACCCUGAUUGGACCAGGUCAUAUAGAGGUGAACCCUGACUGGACCAUGUCAUAUAGAGGUGAACCCUGAUUGGACCAGGUCAUAUAGAGGUGAACCCUGAUUGGACCAGGUCAUAUAGAGGUGAACCCUGAUUGGACCAGGUCAUAUAGAGGUGAACCCUGAUUGGACCAGGUCAUAUAGAGGUGAACCCUGAUUGGACCAGGUCAUAUAGAGGUGAACCCUGACUGGACCAGGUCAUAUAGAGGUGAACCCUGAUUGGACCAGGUCAUAUAGAGGUGAACCCUGACUGGACCAGGUCAUAUAGAGGUGAACCCUGAUUGGACCAGGUCAUAUAGCCUAGAGGUGAACCCUGAUUGGACCAGGUCAUAUAGAGGUGAACCCUGAUUGGACCAGGUCGUAUAGAGGUGAACCCUGACUGGACCAGGUCAUAUAGAGGUGAACCCUGAUUGGACCAGGUCAUAUAGAGGUGAACCCUGAUUGGACCAGGUCAUAUAGAGGUGAACCCUGAUUGGACCAGGUCAUAUAGAGGUGAACCCUGAUUGGACCACGUCAUAUAGCCCAUUCAGAUCUGGUGAUAGAAAUAGAACACGUAGAGCUGUAAUGAUUCCAUGUUCUACAUGACAUGCUGUCAUUUCUAUUCCACAUAAUCUAUGUCUACGUCCCAAAAUGACACCCUAUUCCAUAAAUAGUGCACUAUAUAGGGAGCAGAGUCCCAUUUGGGAAGCGGGCUGUUUGUUAAGGUUCUGUGGGACGCUCCAGGGGUAGUGGAGCUGUGGAGUGAAGGACGAGGAUAUGAGCUAGGACUAUCAGAAUGUAGGAAUUUCCCUCAGGAUGAAACCAUUUCCUGUUCUGUUCAGCCUGCACGUUGUGUGUCAUCAAGUCCUCCAGACUCUCUCCCUCAGGGCUACACACACACACACACACACACACACACACACACACACA
Non-coding RNA from Salmo salar (Atlantic salmon), 2163 nucleotides. The record is from RefSeq and is a predicted model, not a curated record. Lineage: Eukaryota; Metazoa; Chordata; Actinopteri; Salmoniformes; Salmonidae.